RNAcentral lists this ribosomal RNA (459 nucleotides) under uncultured bacterium. RNAcentral describes it as "partial 16S ribosomal RNA". It matches the Rfam family "Bacterial small subunit ribosomal RNA", at positions 338 to 795 of the family's 1533-position model. The record is from RNAcentral.
CCUACGGGAGGCAGCAGUGAGGAAUAUUGGUCAAUGGGCGGAAGCCUGAACCAGCCAAGUAGCGUGCGGGAUGAAGGCCCUACGGGUCGUAAACCGCUUUUGCACGGGGAUAACACCCUCCACUUGUGGAGGUUUGCAGGUACCGUGCGAAUAAGGGCCGGCUAAUUCCGUGCCAGCCGCCGCGGUAAUACGGAAGGCCCGAGCGUUAUCCGGAUUUCUUGGGCUUAAAGGGAGCGUAGGCGGGCGUUCAAGGCAGCGGUAAAAUCGCGCGGCCAAACCCCGCCCCGCAGUUGAAACUGGACGCCUUGAGUGCACAACAGGCAGGCGGAAUUCGUGGUGUAGCGGUGAAAUGCAUAGAUAUCACGAGGAACCCCGAUUGCGAAGGCAGCCUGCCGGGGUGCGACUGACGCUGAGGCUCGAAGGUGCGGGUAUCAAACAGGAUUAGAUACCCUUGUAGUC